This 253-nucleotide ribosomal RNA is filed under the name uncultured bacterium. RNAcentral describes it as "partial 16S ribosomal RNA". It matches the Rfam family "Bacterial small subunit ribosomal RNA", at positions 524 to 776 of the family's 1533-position model. The record is from RNAcentral.
UACAGAGGGUGCGAGCGUUGUCCGGAAUCACUGGGCGUAAAGGGCGCGUAGGUGGCUUGUUAAGCGUGUGGUGAAAGCUCGGGGCUCAACCCCGAGUCUGCCGUGCGGACUGACAGGCUUGAGCACAGUAGAGGCGAGUGGAAUUCCGGGUGUAGCGGUGGAAUGCGUAGAUAUCUGGAAGAACACCGGUGGCGAAGGCGGCUCGCUGGGCUGAUGCUGACACUGAGGCGCGACAGCGUGGGGAGCAAACAGG